Long non-coding RNA from Apis mellifera (honey bee), 1218 nucleotides. RefSeq lists it as uncharacterized. Lineage: Eukaryota; Metazoa; Arthropoda; Insecta; Hymenoptera; Apidae. The transcript is spliced from 2 exons. The record is from RefSeq and is a predicted model, not a curated record.
UGCGUUCUGUAGCUUUUAUUAAUGAUAAAAAUCGAAUUUCGAUUGCUUCUAUUGAUUAAAAAUCAUUGUUCGAACCAAAAAAAACAGUGGAAUAAUUCCAAUAAAAUUGGGGAAGACGUUAGAAACGAGGAGAUCUCUGAAAUAUCGCUAGGCGAAACGCGCGAGAAGUUAGCUCAAGACGGCAAACUCGUUUAUAAAAAUAUCGAUCGCUUCGAACGAAAACAUCGCUCGCAAUACUGCUCGACAAAGAGAGGUUAACUUCUUCUCGAAGUUUUUCGCGCGUAUCGCGUAUUCGCGAUUUUCUUUGACUCGACAGCUCUAUAAUUUAAUUAUUUAUUACAUUAAUAAUGGCAUCAAGGAGACGAGCCGAGAGUAUUAAACGUCCGAGCCAGGGAAGCUAUGGCGGAACGGAGUAUCACAAAUGUGUAGGGCCGAUCAGCCAGCACGAUAAAGCACCCAAAGGGUUGAAAGUCGGACCAGGAACUGUUUCGAGCCUCGAGCCAUAGGAUAUCCGCACUGAAUCGACCAACAUGAAAGAAGACGACGGGGAUAUUAUUUUUCAAACCUAAAAAUAAUUUUGCAAUUAUUCCGAUUAUUUGGAUCGAUCUCGAUUUAUUUUUUUUUUUUUUUUUUUUUUAUAAGAUGCAAUUAAAUUAAAUUUUUCUCGAUGUAUAUUAUAAAUAUAUUUUUUUAAAUGUAUUUUAAUGUAGGUACAUGGAAAUUGCAGAUAAUACAGAAUAACAAGUUGGAAUUUUAUUUGUUUGAUGUUUUUAUUUUUUUUCCUUUCAUUUUUUUUUUCUUUUCUUUUCUUUUUUUUGGGGGGGACUAGAAUUUAUUAUUAUUAUUAUUUCAUUUAAUAACGAAAGAAACAAAAAAUUACAAGAUUGUGGAUUGUGAGAUCGAUAUUUAAAUUAUUAUUAUUUCGACGAGUAAGUAUCCUAGGAUACUUUUUGUGUUCUCGUUCUCGGGGAAAUUCGAACAUUGCUCUCUCUCUCUCUCUCUUUCUCUCUUUCACUCUCGCUCUCCGUUAAUACUGUCAUUCAACAAGGUGACUAGUAAAAAUUUAUUUUUUUUCCCCCUCCCCUCUCUCUCUCUCUCUCUCUUUCCUUUCAAUUGAAAUGCACAAAAUAAGUGUGGCAUUUUUACAUAUGCAAAUGAUAUUCUUUCUUCCUUUUUUUUCCUUUUUUUUUUUUUUUUUCCAUAUUCCACAUACAUACA